Molecule: ribosomal RNA, 484 nt
Filed under: uncultured bacterium
Lineage: Bacteria
Description: partial 16S ribosomal RNA
Rfam family: Bacterial small subunit ribosomal RNA
Source: RNAcentral
AUUGAACGCUGGCGGCAUGCUUUACACAUGCAAGUCGAACGGCAGCGCGGGCUUCGGCCUGGCGGCGAGUGGCGAACGGGUGAGUAAUACAUCGGAACGUGCCCAGUAGUGGGGGAUAGCUCGGCGAAAGCCGGAUUAAUACCGCAUACGACCUGAGGGUGAAAGCGGGGGAGCUUCGGACCUCGCGCUAUUGGAGCGGCCGAUGGCAGAUUAGCGAGUUGGUGGGGUAAAGGCCUACCAAGGCGACGAUCUGUAGCUGGUCUGAGAGGACGACCAGCCACACUGGGACUGAGACACGGCCCAGACUCCUACGGGAGGCAGCAGUGGGGAAUUUUGGACAAUGGGCGAAAGCCUGAUCCAGCAAUGCCGCGUGUGUGAUGAAGGCCUUCGGGUUGUAAAGCACUUUUGGCGGGGACGAAAAGGAUUGUGCCAAUACCACGGUUCGAUGACGGUACCCACAGAAUAAGCACCGGCUAACUACGUG